GGUGGCGUGUCCGAGCGGCCGAAGGUGCAACACUCGAAAUGUUGUGUGCGGUAACCCCGUACCGGGGUUUCAAAUCCCCCCGCCACCG
This 88-nucleotide transfer RNA is filed under the name Bacillus toyonensis. Its description in RNAcentral is "tRNA-Ser". It matches the Rfam family "tRNA". Rfam says of the family: Transfer RNA (tRNA) molecules are approximately 80 nucleotides in length. Their secondary structure includes four short double-helical elements and three loops (D, anti-codon, and T loops). Lineage: Bacteria; Bacillati; Bacillota; Bacilli; Caryophanales; Bacillaceae. The record is from RNAcentral.